GGGGAUAACAUUCGGAAACGGGUGCUAAUACCGCAUAAUAUCUUCUUCCGCAUGGAAGAAGAUUGAAAGACGGCUCUGCUGUCACUUAUAGAUGACCUUGCGGUGCAUUAGUUAGUUGGUGGGGUAACGGCCUACCAAGACGAUGAUGCAUAGCCGACCUGAGAGGGUGAUCGGCCACAUUGGGACUGAGACACGGCCCAA
This 201-nucleotide ribosomal RNA is filed under the name uncultured Aerococcus sp. RNAcentral describes it as "partial 16S ribosomal RNA". It matches the Rfam family "Bacterial small subunit ribosomal RNA", at positions 139 to 334 of the family's 1533-position model. The record is from RNAcentral. Lineage: Bacteria; Bacillati; Bacillota; Bacilli; Lactobacillales; Aerococcaceae.